Molecule: ribosomal RNA, 400 nt
Filed under: uncultured bacterium
Lineage: Bacteria
Description: bacterial SSU rRNA
Rfam family: Bacterial small subunit ribosomal RNA
Source: RNAcentral
GAGUAUUGGACAAUGGGGGCAACCCUGAUCCAGCAAUGCCGCGUGAGUGAUGAAGGCCUUAGGGUUGUAAAGCUCUUUCGGCGGGGAAGAUGAUGACGGUACCCGCAGAAGAAGCCCCGGCUAACUUCGUGCCAGCCGCCGCGGUAAUACGAAGGGGGCUAGCGUUGUUCGGAAUUACUGGGCGUAAAGGGCGCGUAGGCGGUCUUGUAAGUCAGGCGUGAAAGGCCCGGGCUCAACCUGGGGACUGCGCUCGAUACUGCGGGGCUUGAAUCCGGGAGAGGAUGGCGGAAUUCCCAGUGUAGAGGUGAAAUUCGUAGAUAUUGGGAAGAACACCGGUGGCGAAGGCGGCCAUCUGGCCCGUGAUUGACGCUGAGGCGCGAAAGCGUGGGGAGCAAACAGG